Long non-coding RNA from Pyrgilauda ruficollis (rufous-necked snowfinch), 1969 nucleotides. RefSeq lists it as uncharacterized. NCBI's taxonomy places the organism in Eukaryota, Metazoa, Chordata, Aves, Passeriformes, Passeridae. The record is from RefSeq and is a predicted model, not a curated record. The transcript has 2 exons.
GUUCGUGUGGCGCUGCCUCUGAGGAGCCUCUGGCUGCUGCUGUCCUGCCCCAGCGAGGGCUGCGCUGGCCAGACAGCCGGGAAUGCCCCUCCGGCUGCAGGAAUCCCAGCCCUGCUGCAGGCUGACAUUUCCAGAUCACUCAUCCCAAUUUACCAAAAGGGAAUGGGAGCUGGCCUUGGAAAGCCCAACACCCUUGUAAAGGAAGCUGAGCGAGCGGCUCUGUGCUGUCAGAAGGCCAAAGUGAGGCAUUCCAGCUCCUGGCAGCUGCUCCUGCAGCCAGCAGUGCAAGCUGAGCUCCAACAGUGAGUGAGAGGGUUUGGACAGACUUGGUUCAAGACAUUUUAACACCAAGAUUGAGGGAGUCAUUCCCCAAGUGUUCCUGCAUGCUCCCCCUUUCUGGGAAAAUGUGUUUCACGCUCCUACAGGCAGUGGUCAGCCAGAAUCUUGGCCUGGUGGGAAAGCCUCCAUCAAUCCCUAUUUCCUGUUCUGGAGGAGGGUCCCAAGCCUCCAAAGGAAUCCCUGCAAUGUUCCUGUAGCAGGGCUGUGUGUGCCCUCCAGCCAGUCCAUGCUGCCUGUAAGUAAAACAUAAAUCCUCUGGUACCAGGAAAUGCAGCUGCUUUUUUUUUUUGGGGGGGGGAAGCUCCUGGUGGCUGACUCUGGAUACUGUCCCUGUCCCUGCUUCUCCCUCACCCCACAGAGCCCCUUGUCCUGGCCUGGAGGACAGCUGAGAUCCAAGGAGAGCUGCCUCUGUGGAAAAGUAGAACCACGGACAGAUAUUCCCAAAAGGCAACUCAAACCCGUUGGUAUUUGUUAGAACAUUUUGUCAAAACCAAACACUCAAGGGACAGUGGAAUUGGAGACAGUUUAAAAAGGAAUAGCAAAUAUGGGCAAUGCAAAAUAUGUAUUUAAGAUACUCAAAAUUCUGGGCAUGGACCAAUAUCCAUAUUUUGAAAUUACCUUUCUUACUUAAAAGACAUAAAGACCAAAAUAAAACAUUUAGACUUACAUUUAGUCUCUCUCUGAAAAGCAAUAGUGCUUUAGUCCCAGUUCAGGACAAUAGGAUUUUGAACUCUGGAACCUUCCUGCCAGUCCAUUUCUGCUGCCCACUGCAUAGAAAAGUAGCAAAAACAUCCCAUUAAAGGAGUGGAUUCUUGUCUGUUUAACACACAAAGUGCUUCAGCAACCUCAAAGAAUCACUUUUUUUUUUUAACAAUUGAAUUUAUUAAUGCCUUAUAUGACUAUACAGCAGAGCAGUUUGUCAGAUACACAGUACAAGUCCCUAUGCAGUCUUUUUUUCAAAGAAACCUUCGGGAUCGAAUCCUGUUCUGUCAGGUGGUGCCAGCAGUGAGCACCUCUGCCUGUGUUGUAACCACUCAUGUUUGCCUUCCUUCCACGUCGAUUGUAUCCCAAAUAAAACCAGUUGUGUGGCAGAAUGAAUUAAUCAACAGUGAUGUGAGAAAUAUCUUCAAGCAAUAGUGUCUGUCAGGAAAACACUUACCUACGGUUUGUAUGUUUCUAUGGUCUGGCUUCCUGUAUAAAAUGCUCACAAGUAAUGCUGUAUUUUACUGUAAACUGAAAUAUUAAUGCAUGAAUUUCUAUUUUUCAAUGGUCAAGGUGCCAUUCAUUUAAAAAUCUGCAUCUCAAAUAAAUUUGUACACAAGUUUUCAAUGUCCAGCUCUUCAAUCAGAACCAACACGUUGACCUGGAAAGAUUAUUGGGACUUAUUUCCUUCAAACUUGAAAAUGGCAUCAACCAUUCCUGUCUCAGAACUCCAAGAACCCGACACCCUCUGGAGCACCCUGGGACACUGGAGGUGGCCCUGAGCAGCUCCUUCAGGCUGCAGAGGAAGAAAAGGGACCGUGACAAACCCGCCCUGCACCGCGCUCUACUCGGACACUACUGCCACCACCAUGGACAAUGGAUAUUUAUCACAAUGAACUUCAAAUAAACACAAAUAUGUUAAACUUGC